RNAcentral lists this ribosomal RNA (426 nucleotides) under uncultured Actinomycetes bacterium. Its description in RNAcentral is "bacterial SSU rRNA". It matches the Rfam family "Bacterial small subunit ribosomal RNA", at positions 233 to 671 of the family's 1533-position model. Lineage: Bacteria; Bacillati; Actinomycetota; Actinomycetes. The record is from RNAcentral.
GCGGCCUAUCAGCUUGUUGGUGAGGUAAUGGCUCACCAAGGCGACGACGGGUAGCCGGCCUGAGAGGGCGACCGGCCACACUGGGACUGAGACACGGCCCAGACUCCUACGGGAGGCAGCAGUGGGGAAUAUUGGGCAAUGGAGGAAACUCUGACCCAGCGACGCCGCGUGAGGGAUGAAGGCCUUCGGGUUGUAAACCUCUUUCAGUAGGGAAGAAGCGAAAGUGGCGGUACCUACAGAAGAAGCACCGGCUAACUAUGUGCCAGCAGCCGCGGUAAUACAUAGGGUGCAAGCGUUGUCCGGAAUUAUUGGGCGUAAAGAGCUCGUAGGUGGUUCGAUACGUCGGAUGUGAAAAUCAGGGGCUCAACCCCUGACCUGCAUUCGAUACGGUCGAGCUGGAGUUUGGUAGGGGAGACUGGAAUUCCU